RNAcentral lists this ribosomal RNA (482 nucleotides) under uncultured bacterium. RNAcentral describes it as "partial 16S ribosomal RNA". It matches the Rfam family "Bacterial small subunit ribosomal RNA", at positions 29 to 523 of the family's 1533-position model. The record is from RNAcentral.
AAUGAACGUUGGCGGCGUGGAUUAGGCAUGCAAGUCGAACGAGAUCUGUAGCAAUACAGUGAAAGUGGCGAAAGGGAGAGUAAUACGUAGGUACCUGCCCUCGGGUCUGGGAUAGCUGCGGGAAACUGCAAUUAAUACCGGAUGAUGUCUCUGGACCACAGGUGUGAUUCCGCCAGGGGAUGGGCCUGCGUCCUAUCAGCUUGUUGGUGUGGUAACGGCGCACCAAGGCUAAGACGGGUACGGGGUGUGAGAGCAUGCCCCCGCUCACUGGGACUGAGAUACUGCCCAGACACCUACGGGUGGCUGCAGUCGAGAAUCUUCCGCAAUGGGCGCAAGCCUGACGGAGCGACGCCGCGUGUGGGAUGAAGGCCUUCGGGUUGUAAACCACUGUCAGUGGGGAGCAAAUGCAUCAGGGUUCUCCCUGGUGUUUGAGCGAUCCGCAGAGGAAGCACAGGCUAAUUCCGUGCCAGCCGCCGCAGUAA